AACGCACGAGACCUGCGGACCUGCGGAAGGAUCAUUACUGGGUUCUGGUCGAAAGACCGCUCACCCACCCUCUGUCAUUGCAAAUGAUCGUUUCGGUCGUUGGUUCCGCCCAUGACCGGCAUUGCAAAUUCUUCGUAGAUGAAGUCUGAUAACAAAAACAAAUGAAAAAAAACUUUUAGCAACGGAUCUCU
RNAcentral lists this unclassified non-coding RNA (191 nucleotides) under soil metagenome. Its description in RNAcentral is "partial contains 5.8S ribosomal RNA, internal transcribed spacer 2, and large subunit ribosomal RNA". The record is from RNAcentral.